AGUGAACGCUGGCGGUAGGCCUAACACAUGCAAGUCGAACGGCAGCACAGUAAGAGCUUGCUCUUACGGGUGGCGAGUGGCGGACGGGUGAGGAAUACAUCGGAAUCUACUUUUUCGUGGGGGAUAACGUAGGGAAACUUACGCUAAUACCGCAUACGACCUACGGGUGAAAGCAGGGGAUCUACGGACCUUGCGCGAUUGAAUGAGCCGAUGUCGGAUUAGCUAGUUGGCGGGGUAAAGGCCCACCAAGGCGACGAUCCGUAGCUGGUCUGAGAGGAUGAUCAGCCACACUGGAACUGAGACACGGUCCAGACUCCUACGGGAGGCAGAAGUGGGGAAUAUUGGACAAUGGGCGCAAGCCUGAUCCAGCCAUACCGCGUGGGUGAAGAAGGCCUUCGGGUUGUAAAGCCCUUUUGUUGGGAAAGAAAAGCAGCAGGUUAAUACCCCGCUGUUCUGACGGUACCCAAAGAAUAAGCACCGGCUAACUUCGUG
This 492-nucleotide ribosomal RNA is filed under the name uncultured bacterium. Its description in RNAcentral is "partial 16S ribosomal RNA". It matches the Rfam family "Bacterial small subunit ribosomal RNA", at positions 29 to 507 of the family's 1533-position model. The record is from RNAcentral.